This 21-nucleotide microRNA is filed under the name Gallid alphaherpesvirus 2. RNAcentral's name for it is "mdv1-miR-M13". Its record names the gene mdv1-miR-M13. Lineage: Duplodnaviria; Heunggongvirae; Peploviricota; Herviviricetes; Herpesvirales; Orthoherpesviridae. The record is from miRBase by way of RNAcentral.
GCAUGGAAACGUCCUGGGAAA